This 497-nucleotide ribosomal RNA is filed under the name uncultured bacterium. RNAcentral's name for it is "partial 16S ribosomal RNA". It matches the Rfam family "Bacterial small subunit ribosomal RNA", at positions 28 to 507 of the family's 1533-position model. The record is from RNAcentral.
GAUGAACGCUGGCGGCGUGCCUAAUACAUGCAAGUCGAGCGAACAGACGAGGAGCUUGCUCCUUCGACGUUAGCGGCGGACGGGUGAGUAACACGUAGGUAACCUACCUAUAAGACUGGGAUAACUUCGGGAAACCGGAGCUAAUACCGGAUAAUAUUUCGAACCGCAUGGUUCGAUAGUGAAAGAUGGCUUUGCUAUCACUUAUAGAUGGACCUGCGCCGUAUUAGCUAGUUGGUAAGGUAACGGCUUACCAAGGCAACGAUACGUAGCCGACCUGCGAGGGUGAUCGGCCACACUGGAACUGAGACACGGUCCAGACUCCUACGGGAGGCAGCAGUAGGGAAUCUUCCGCAAUGGGCGAAAGCCUGACGGAGCAACGCCGCGUGAGUGAUGAAGGUCUUCGGAUCGUAAAACUCUGUUAUUAGGGAAGAACAAACGUGUAAGUAACUGUGCACGUCUUGACGGUACCUAAUCAGAAAGCCACGGCUAACUACGUG